ACCACCAUCAAAUAUCUAAAAGGUGUAUCCCUUGGCCUUCCCAGGCAAGGCGGGACUCUUGGGUUCGAUCCCUGGACCAGGAAGAUCCCCUGGAGAAGGAAAUGGCUGCCCAUUCCAGUAUUCUUUCCUGGAGAAUUUCAUAGACAGAGGAGCCUGGCAGGCUACUCCAUGGGGUCGCCAAGAGUGGAUACAACUGAACAACGAACACUUUCACUUUCACCCUUUGGAUCCACCAUGGACUCUUUUGAAGUGCAGUGCUUCCUUGAACUCAGAGCAGAUUCACCCGCCAGACUCAGGCUGGAAGAUAUAUAUUACAGCAAAAAAUAAGGAAUAACUAUCCUUGUCUUCAAGCAACUCAGAUUUAGACAGUGAUCCAGACGCUGAUUUAAGGAGCAACCAAUAUUAUGCAACAAGUGCAGUAACAC
Molecule: long non-coding RNA, 425 nt
Filed under: Ovis aries (sheep)
Lineage: Eukaryota; Metazoa; Chordata; Mammalia; Artiodactyla; Bovidae
Description: lncRNA (ENSOARG00000025599.1)
Source: RNAcentral